RNAcentral lists this ribosomal RNA (1478 nucleotides) under uncultured bacterium. RNAcentral describes it as "bacterial SSU rRNA". It matches the Rfam family "Bacterial small subunit ribosomal RNA". The record is from RNAcentral.
GUUUGAUCCUGGCUCAGGACGAACGCUGGCGGCGUGCCUAACACAUGCAAGUCGAACGGAAACAGGCUGAAGCUUGCUUUGGACUGUUUUAGUGGCGGACGGGUGAGUAACGCGUGAGGAACCUGCCUUCUAGAGGGGGAUAACGUCUGGAAACGGACGCUAAUACCGCAUGAUAUUCCGGGAUCACAUGGUUUUGGAAUCAAAGGAGCAAUCCGCUGGAAGAUGGACUCGCGUCCGAUUAGCCAGUUGGCGGGGUAACGGCCCACCAAAGCCACGAUCGGUAGCCGGACUGAGAGGUUGAACGGCCACAUUGGGACUGAGACACGGCCCAGACUCCUACGGGAGGCAGCAGUGGGGGAUAUUGCACAAUGGAGGGAACUCUGAUGCAGCAACGCCGCGUGAGGGAAGACGGUCUUCGGAUUGUAAACCUUUGUCCUCGGUGACGAUAAUGACGGUAGCCGAGGAGGAAGCUCCGGCUAACUACGUGCCAGCAGCCGCGGUAAUACGUAGGGAGCGAGCGUUGUCCGGAUUUACUGGGUGUAAAGGGUGCGUAGGCGGCUCUGCAAGUCAGGUGUGAAAACCAUCGGCUUAACUGAUGGACUGCAUUUGAAACUGUGGAGCUUGAGUGAAGUAGAGGCAGACGGAAUUCCCGGUGUAGCGGUGAAAUGCGUAGAGAUCGGGAGGAACACCAGUGGCGAAGGGCGGUCUGCUGGGCUUUAACUGACGCUGAGGCACGAAAGCAUGGGUAGCAAACAGGAUUAGAUACCCUGGUAGUCCAUGCUGUAAACGAUGAUUACUAGGUGUGGGGGGUCUGACCCCUUCCGUGCCGGAGUUAACACAAUAAGUAAUCCACCUAGGAAGUACGACCGCAAGGUUGAAACUCAAAGGAAUUGACGGGGGCCCGCACAAGCAGUGGAGUAUGUGGUUUAAUUCGAAGCAACGCGAAGAACCUUACCAGGUCUUGACAUCCAACUAAUCCUGUAGAGAUACGGGAGUGCCCUUCGGGGAAAGUUGAGGCAGGUGGUGCAUGGUUGUCGUCAGCUCGUGUCGUGAGAUGUUGGGUUAAGUCCCGCAACGAGCGCAACCCUUGUGAUUAGUAGCUACGCAAGAGCACUCUAAUCAGACUGCCGUUGACAAAACGGAGGAAGGUGGGGACGACGUCAAAUCAUCAUGCCCCUUAUGAUCUGGGCUACACACGUACUACAAUGGCCAUCAACAGAGGGAAGCAAAACCGCGAGGCAGAGCAAACCCCUAAAAAUGGUCUCAGUUCGGAUCGCAGGCUGAAACCCGCCUGCGUGAAGCUGGAAUUGCUAGUAAUCGCGGAUCAUCAUGCCGCGGUGAAUACGUUCCCGGGCCUUGUACACACCGCCCGUCACACCAUGGGAGCCGGUAAUACCCGAAGUCGGUAGUCUAACCGCGAGGAGGACGCCGCCGAAGGUAGGAUUGGCGACUGGGGUGAAGUCGUAACAAGGUAGCCG